This 578-nucleotide long non-coding RNA is filed under the name Homo sapiens (human). RNAcentral's name for it is "HSALNT0356482". The record is from RNAcentral. Lineage: Eukaryota; Metazoa; Chordata; Mammalia; Primates; Hominidae.
CACCACUGCACUCCAGCCUGGGUGACAGAGCAAGACUCUGUCUCAAAGAAAAAGAAAAAAGAAGAUUAGUUUUGACGAUUUGUUCUGGUAAGAUCUGGGAGCUGGAUUUAAGGAGCCCUGAACUUGGUGCCUUUUCCUUACUUUCCUUUUCUCCCUGCCCCCACCUGCCCGCCCCCUGUUGACUAGCUUAUUUUGUACAUCCCCAUACCAAAUCCCUUAAGAAUUGCAGGAUGUGACGCAGAUGAGGAAAAAUCCAUUCUAGAGGGGAGAUGCUAGAUGAUGGAAAACCUGGAUCUCAUCGGUCUCUGGUGGAGAUCUCCAACAUGCAGCAAGAAUAGACUACAAGAGGCUGCACUUAGCCUCCAGAGUUGUCUCUUCAACAAGACAGGUCUGAUCAUCUCAGUAACCUUCUUCUGGGACUCCUGUUAGACGUGUAUAUUUAAUACCAUUGGCUAAGUCGUAACAAUCAUCCAAGUCAACCGACCUCCCAGCCUGCCCACAUUGCCUCCCUGUAGGAAGUGAUUUUGCACACAGAAGCCCCUGGUGGGGUAGGGUGGAGUGUGAAGUAUCUGUUCUUG